Molecule: ribosomal RNA, 1622 nt
Filed under: human gut metagenome
Description: bacterial LSU rRNA
Rfam family: Bacterial large subunit ribosomal RNA
Source: RNAcentral
UGGUUCUCCUCGAAAUAGCUUUAGGGCUAGCCUCAUGGAUCAUUGAUGGGGGUAGAGCACUGAAUGUGCGCGGGGGCCACAAAGCCUACCAAACGCUAUCAAACUUCGAAUACCAUACAAUGCAGACCAUGGGAGUCAGUCCGCGAGAGAUAAGUUCCGCGGGCAAAAGGGGAACACCCCAGAUCAACCGCUAAGGUCCCCAAGUUCACGUUAAGUGGAGAAGGAUGUGGAAUUGCACAGACAACCAGGAUGUUGGCUCAGAAGCAGCCACACAUUUAAAGAGUGCGUAAUAGCUCACUGGUCGAGUGAUUGUGCGCCGAAGAUGUCCGGGGCUAAACGUGACACCGAAGCGAUGGGUGCGUCUGAAAAAGAUGCGCGGUAGAGGAGCAAUGUGCAGAGGCAGAAGCCGUAUCGAGAGGCACGGUGGACACUGCACAAGAGAGAAUGCCGGUAUGAGUAGCGAGAGGCAUGCGAGAAACAUGCCCGUCGAAAGCCCAAGGUUUCCUGGGGAAGGUUCAUCCGCCCAGGGUAAGUCGGGGCCUAAGCCGAGGACGGAAGUCGUAGGCGAUGGACAGCAGGUGUAGAUUCCUGCACUACCGAUGGAAUGAAGCAGUGACACAGAAGGAUAACUCGAGCAGGGUGAUGGUCAACCCUGUGCAAGCAUCAAGGUUGGGUUGUAGUGAAGUACGCAAUCCUAUAAGCUGAGGUGUGAUGCGGACCGAAAUUUCAGUAGGGAAGCGAGUGAGUUCACGCUGGCGAGAAAAGCUGCUAGUACAUCCAAAGGUACCCGUACCGGAAACCGACGCAGGUGGGCGAGGAGAGAAUCCUGAGACGAACGGGAGAACCCUUGUUAAGGAACUCGGCAAAAUGACCCCGUAACUUCGGGAUAAGGGGUGCCUGCGAGAGCAGGCCGCAGAGAAUAGUCACAAGCGACUGUUUAGCAAAAACACAGGUAUCUGCGAAAGCGAGAGCUGACGUAUAGGUGCUGACACCUGCCCGGUGCUGGAAGGUUAAGGGAACAUGUUAGAGCAAUCGAAGCAUCGAACCGAAGCCCCAGUAAACGGCGGCCGUAACUAUAACGGUCCUAAGGUAGCGAAAUUCCUUGUCGGGUAAGUUCCGACCCGCACGAAUGGUGUAACGACUUGUGAGCUGUCUCAACAGGGGGCCCGGUGAAAUUGAAGUAUGGGUGAAGAUGCCCAUUACCCGCGACUGGACGGAGAGACCCCGUAGAGCUUUACUGCAGCCUGAUAUUGAGUUUCGGUAACUGAUGCACAGGAUAGGUGGGAGUCUGAGAGACAUGGGUUUCGGCUCAUGUGGAGACGAUGUUGGGAUACCACUCUUCGGUUACUGAAAUUCUAACAUAGCUCUGUGAAACCAGAGGAUGGACAGUGUCAGGUGGACAGUUUGACUGGGGCGGUCGCCUCCGAAAGAGUAACGGAGGCGCCCAAAGGUACCCUCAGAAUGGAUGGAAACCAUUCGAAGAGCGCAAAGGCAGAAGGGUGCCUGACUGCGAGAUUGACAAAUCGAGCAGAGACGAAAGUCGGGCUUAGUGAUCCGGCGGUAUUGAGUGGAAAAGCCGUCGCUUAACGGAUAAAAGCUACCUCGGGGAUAACAGGCUGAUC